This is an RNA transcript of Arachis duranensis, 1708 nucleotides long. RefSeq lists it as uncharacterized. Lineage: Eukaryota; Viridiplantae; Streptophyta; Magnoliopsida; Fabales; Fabaceae. The transcript has 5 exons. The record is from RefSeq and is a predicted model, not a curated record.
AACUCUUCCAACCUUUUGUAUUCACCCUUAAAAAAACCCUAAAUCCUUUGCAAUCCAGAGAACAUUGCCCCUUUUUAUUUCACAAACCCUAACCUAACACCCACCGCACUCCCCCCUUUCCCCUCACAAGAGCGCUGCAGCCCCACUCCCCAUUUUCCCCUCUCCAGUGCACACAACACAAUACACAUACGCAUCACCUCACCCAUGCGGAAGAGGAGAGCUCGAAAAAGGAGACGCCGCCUUGCUGCCAGCUCCGUCGAAGACCAGUCUGCCGCCGCUGUCGAGUCAAACCCGAGAGAGAGUGUAUGCGACGAUGAGAGAGGAGGAGUCGUCACCAAACGCGUCGUCGCCGCUGGAAGAGCUUCGCUCUUCGCCGUUACCGAGGAGGGGAAAGAGGAGCUGCUCCCGUCGCACCAGUCACCGUCCUGCUUCCUGGUUGCCGAUGAGGGAGCCGCGAGAACCGUUGCCGUCGAGAAAGAGGGGGACGUGCGAGAGGGAGCCGUCAGUUUGGUCGUCGUCGCAGCUGUUGAGUAAAUCUUCCUUGCCGUUGGGAAUUAGCUUCAGCCUUGAAAGAAGCCAAAGCUAGGUUUGAUUCAGCUGGUGUUAAACUAAUUGCAGUUGGUGUUGGUGGCCCCAGUAAAGCCCGCAUGCUUGCUGAGCGACCUGCUGCAGAAUAUUUAAAUAGGAAAAUUUUGGAGGGAAAGACAAUUGCGGAGAAAUUAGAUAGCUUGAUUGAGCUGACUUUUUUGCAUCUUGAGUCCUGUCAAAGCAGUGGCCAGUUGUCUGAGGUAUUUUUCAGACAUUACAUAUAUUUGCUUUGAUUACUUUGUACUAUAUACUUUAACUUGUAUGUUUAUUAAAUUCUUAAUUAGGUAUUUGAUGUUCUAGUGAGAUCAUUUCAAAGGACUAUUUUAUUUCAGUUUGUGGUGUUCUAUGCAUGUGCACUUGAUCCUGAAGAUUGUGGGGAGAAGUUCGCCAUGGUUCUUGUUCAUUUUUUUCUGUUUCCUUUUUUCCAUUCUUGUGCCAUAUCCUGUUUUUGGUUUCUGUGGAGUACUCAGAAUGUGCAGAUAUUGCUGGGACGACUCCUGAUGGAUGUACUGAAAUACCAACUUGUCCAGUUUGCCUCGGUAGGCUGCAUUUGCUUUUGCUGUGGCUUUGUGUGUGUUGCUUCGUUGAUUAUGUUUUUAGAGGAUGGAAAUAAUCUUGUGAAAUGAUGUUUUAUAUGAUUUAUGUGUCUGGUUUGCUCUUUGAAUGAUUGAGAGAUUGGACCCGGAUAGAAGUGGAAUACUCACUACACUUUGCGAUCACUCCUUUCAAUGCCCUUAUGUUUCAAAGUGGACAUACUUGUCUUGCCAGGAAGGAAGCAGCUUGCCAUAUGUCUUCUACAUCUCGGCAUUAUUAUGAAUCUUUGUUGGCAGAGGCACAAAGCAAAGUGGACAGGUCUGUCUCUGAAGUAGUGGAGAAAGCUGUAACUUCUGGAUUGCAGGACAUCAAAGAUAAACUAGAAAAUUGUACAUAAGAGAGAAAUGGUGUUGCUGAGGUGAGGAAGGAAGUUUGAGGGUUAAAGGAAGGAGGAACAGCAAGGUUUAAGUUGUAUUGUUCCUGUACUUUUCUUUAGUUUUUAGUUUUGGAAUUUGAACUCGAGAUUUAUUUUGUAUUUGAACAUUAGUUUUUAAUGUAUAAAACAAUUAUAGCAAAAAUUAUGUCA